RNAcentral lists this long non-coding RNA (352 nucleotides) under Brassica rapa (field mustard). Its description in RNAcentral is "long non-coding RNA (BRAP_LNC007004)". Lineage: Eukaryota; Viridiplantae; Streptophyta; Magnoliopsida; Brassicales; Brassicaceae. The record is from RNAcentral.
GUUUUUAUGCUUUUUAAUUAUUUAAUAAUUAAAUAAUUAUUAAUUGUUUUAUAAAUAUUCUAAUAAAUAUAUAAAUAAAUACUUGAAAUAUAUAUAAAAAUUUAAAAUAAUAAUUUCAUAAAGAAAGUUUGAAAACAAAAUUGAAAAAAAAAAUCAAAAAAAAAAGUUAUAAAAAAGUUUGAAUUUGAAAAAGGGAAAUACCCUAGGAUAGCACUAAAAAAGUUUAUGACACAAAUAUAGACUCUAAGGAUCAAAAUGACCAAAAUAUUUCAUUAAAGAAGUAAAUAUACACUUAUACCCCUAAAGUUAACUAAUCCAAACCUUAGAGUUUGGAGUUAAGGGUCGGAAUUUG